AGUUUGGUGCCUGAUGAAAAGGAUUACCUCGAUACGGUAAAUAAUGCAAUCCAUUUGCCCAGACUA
This 66-nucleotide transfer RNA is filed under the name Simocephalus sibiricus. Its description in RNAcentral is "tRNA-Ile". Lineage: Eukaryota; Metazoa; Arthropoda; Branchiopoda; Diplostraca; Daphniidae. The record is from RNAcentral.